This 443-nucleotide ribosomal RNA is filed under the name uncultured bacterium. Its description in RNAcentral is "bacterial SSU rRNA". It matches the Rfam family "Bacterial small subunit ribosomal RNA", at positions 28 to 451 of the family's 1533-position model. The record is from RNAcentral.
GAUGAACGCUGGCGGCGUGCUUAACACAUGCAAGUCGAACGAAACACCUUAUUUGAUUUUCUUCGGAACUGAAGAUUUGGUGAUUGAGUGGCGGACGGGUGAGUAACGCGUGGGUAACCUACCCUGUACAGGGGGAUAACAGUCAGAAAUGACUGCUAAUACCGCAUAAGACCACAGCACCGCAUGGUGCAGGGGUAAAAACUCCGGUGGUACAGGAUGGACCCGCGUCUGAUUAGCUGGUUGGUGAGGUAACGGCUCACCAAGGCGACGAUCAGUAGCCGGCUUGAGAGAGUGAACGGCCACAUUGGGACUGAGACACGGCCCAAACUCCUACGGGAGGCAGCAGUGGGGAAUAUUGCACAAUGGGGGAAACCCUGAUGCAGCGACGCCGCGUGAGUGAAGAAGUAUUUCGGUAUGCAAAGCUCUAUCAGCAGGGAAGAAAA